Felis catus (domestic cat) is the source of this 2383-nucleotide long non-coding RNA. RefSeq lists it as uncharacterized. The transcript is spliced from 3 exons. The record is from RefSeq and is a predicted model, not a curated record. Lineage: Eukaryota; Metazoa; Chordata; Mammalia; Carnivora; Felidae.
UCUGAGCUGUCAGCACAGAGCCUGCUGUGGGGCUGGAACUCGUGAAUCGGGAGAUCAGGCCCUGAGCAGAAGUCAACGCUCAACAGACUGAGCCACCCAGGCUCCCCUGGCAAUUGGAUUUUUAAGGUUAAGGGGAUAUACAUAGGUAUGGCAGCCUCCAGACGUGGCACUUUGGGGAUUUAGCUCCACUUCCCUGAAAAUCUCCCAGCUCCGACUUCAGCCUCUUGGGUUCAGCCUCAGGCUGGUUGAAAGAUGGCUGCAGUCAGUAUUCAGGCUAUCCUAUCCCCAUAUCUAGGUCAUCUGGAAGACAAAGAAAAGUAGCAGCUCUCCCUGUGUGUCUCUUUCACCAGCUAAGAAUUCUUAGGUUCUUAAGAGAGAUGUCCCCUCACAUUUCGUUGGCCAGGAUUGGGUUUUAUACACCUUCCUAAAUCCAUCACUGGCAGGGGGAAUAGGGCAACUUUGAUUGGCUUAGAUAAGGGGUCAGCAAGCGUCUUCUGUAAAGGGCAAACUAAUACAGUAAGUCCUCUCCCCAUCCGCGGGUUUGCUUUCCACCGUUGUUACCCACCGUCAACCGUGGGUAAUGACUCGUCUGAUAUAUGUUCAGAAGGUCAGUAGAGCCUAACUAACCCUUGGACACAACACCAACGUCAUUCACCUCACCUCAUCUCAUCACUCAGCAUCUUAUCAUCUCACAUCAUCACAGGAAGGACAGUUUGCCCCAGCCACAUUGGCCUCUUCGUCAGUCUCCAGACCCACCAACCUGCUUUUGCCCCGGGGUCUUCACUAUUCUUCAGUUGAAAUGCUCUUCUCCUGGACUACCAGUCUCAUCUCUGGGUGCUGGGGAAUAGCAAUGAACAAAACAAAGAAAAAAACAACAUUGGUAAGUCAUAUAUUGAGUUACCUAUGUAUUACUGAAUAUUUUACAUAAGUUAUUGUUACCUGCAUUUAAUCUUUAUGAUAGUUCUAUAUGAUGGAUGUUAUUAUUCCUAUUUAAAGUUUGAGGAAACUGAAUAUACUAAGCUGUUGAAGGGUAUUUUUCUGGAUUCAGUUGCCAUCUCUCCAAUGCCAAUGUACACAUUCUAAGCAAUAUGCCAUGUAUUCAGGCUUUGUGAAGAAUUCUGAUGUCUGAGGACAGUGGUCACUCUGGGGCAUUUGAUGACUAUGGUUGGAUGACAUUGACACAAGCCUGUUGUUGGCAGAGGAUGUUUGCUGAUUUGGAAUAGUUUCUUCAACAUACCCCUUCCCAGAGCCCCUGUGAGGAAGCACAGCCCUGCUGCUGGGAGGCAGGUGUGCUUUCUGGAGGACACUCCCCAUGUUUCAAAUCACAUCUCUUCUGCUUCUGUUUCCAGCCCCUCUCUAGGCUUCUGUGAGCUUCUGCCUUCAAUGGCUUGUGCCUGUGGCUCCUCUUUGGAAGCCACUUUUAAGCCACUGGAGCCACUUGUGCUUAAAGUACAAAAAGUGGGAAGUGCCUGAGUUUGUCUCCUCUCCACUCUUGUUUCCAGGGGUGGUCAGGAUGAGUGUAAGUUCUGGAAACCUGCCUGAAAUUGUACCCUUGCUUGACCUUUUUGGAUUUCCCCAGUCUCCUACUGGGUUUUCCUCAAAUUUACAUAACAAAAUCACUUGCUCAUAAAUCCUCAUCUCAGGGUCUGGCUUGAGGAAGCCAACUGAAAAUAGUCUCCUAGUUGAAAGCAUCUAGAAAAUGUUUUCCCUAGGAAAGGAAGAGUAUUUGCCACCUGGACUCAGUUCUGCCCUUUUGGAGAAAGCUGCUUGCUGCUGGGUCAGGACUGGUCCUUGACAGUGUCCCUUGGCUGCCUCUUAGAUCGGGGUCCUAAUCUAACCCAGAUUGGCAGGAAAAAUAAGUUGGGCUUAUUUAUUUAGAUGUUGUGUAUGGUUGCCCCAAAUACACACACACACACACACACACACACACACACACACACAAAUAUACAUAUAUGUAGUCCAAUGAAAUAAGUGUUGAAAAAACUUAUUUUUAAGCCCAUUCAUUCCAUGUAGCAUUUAUUGAGCCUUCAUUAUUUUCCAGCAUUAUACAAAAAUAAUAUAUAUUUUUUACCCUUGAGGAACUCAUAAUAUGUAAGGCAGGACAGACAUGGUUAAUAAAAACACAGUGCAGCUGGGUAAGUGCCACAGAGAGGUUGGUAUAAAGUGCCAGAGGCCAGAAGAGGGAGCUAUAACUUCUGGUAGGGAAAAAAAAGGUAGAAAGAUUUCACUGAGAAGAUAACAUUUGAGCUCCUUUUGGAAGAAGGGAGAGAAAUUACCAGAAGGAGAGAGAGUGUUGCCUAGGACGAGAGAACACUGGAAGUAUAAGAAGCAUAGUUUAUUAACGGAUUAAUUUGUAGUGUUUAUUGUUGUUGUUGUUCCCCAC